Molecule: transfer RNA, 65 nt
Filed under: Cryptopygus terranovus
Lineage: Eukaryota; Metazoa; Arthropoda; Collembola; Entomobryomorpha; Isotomidae
Description: tRNA-Asn
Source: RNAcentral
UUAAAGAAAGCCAAUAAGCGGCAUAUCACUGUUAAUGGUAUUUAGGAUGAAUAUUCCUCUUUAAU